AGCUCCUGUACAUGGGUCCCAGAAGGAGGUAGACACCAAGAGCAACAGAUGAGAAAAACGAUGGGGAGCCUAAAGAGCAAGCGAGGAGGGAAGGGAAGCUGCAGCCCUUGGUGCCUGGCUGAGGAUGCUGCAUGGCUGCUUACGACCCCUGGACUAAGUCAGCAGGAGGCCAGUGGAUCACCUUUGGGAUGGUGCAGCUCUGUUUGGGACCCUGGGGCAGCUUCACCAAGGUGCACCACUAUCCUCCUAGCUGAGCAGCACCCCAACCCGUGGAAGGAAAAUAGAGCUCCGUCCUGAGGAAAACCUUCUCUCCAAGAAUCAAGCUCUUUCUCCUCCUGGACCUCCCAGUGCUUAUCCAAGGGCCCAGGGCCCAGGUGAGGGAUAUUUUGAGUCCUGUGGGACCAUCAGCAUCUAACUGCUGCAUGGAUGGAUGCUCCUGUGCCAUGGCACUGCUAACGAGCUGGCAACCUGUUUGAUCACUGCUGUGACCAGAAGGCACUGACUGUCCCUGCAGAGAAGAUGAAGAAGCUUAUUGCUGGCUCCUGCAGUGCUGCCUUCAGCCUGGGGACAGCCAAGAAGAACAGCAGAUAUUUCUCCCCUCCCUGCCCCAUGAACAGUGGCAGAUCUUUAACAGAGUUGUGGGGAGAACACAGCUGGGGAACUCACCCUUCUAACCCCUCAGCAGAUGUAAUUUUAUUUUUAAUGAGAUUUUGGCUCUGCCCGGCGGGUACCUUUUUGAUCAUGGGGUUUUCACAGCAAGUGAGCCUUGGGGACUUGAGUUACUGAAUCCUCCCGGGGACUUUCCUGUCUUGGAGGCUCUAAGCUGGGCUUUUCCCUAAAAACACAGCCAUGAGUGAACAUAGGUUUUCCUCCAUCACUACUUUGAGUGGCAUCACCAUCUCUGCAUUUCUCCUGCCUUCGGCUCGAGCCCUGAGCCCCCAGCAAGAGCUAACAGGAUCACAUUACUACCUGUGG
Anas platyrhynchos (mallard) is the source of this 975-nucleotide non-coding RNA. Lineage: Eukaryota; Metazoa; Chordata; Aves; Anseriformes; Anatidae. The record is from RefSeq and is a predicted model, not a curated record.